GUCUUGCAUUGACAGUAUAGCGAAGCAGCGUAACCUACUCUGGAGUGUCGCAGAAUUUCACUAAAGCGAUUUAAUUUAACAAUAAAAAUCGGCUAAAAACAUUUACAAUUUUUUACAUCUGUACUGUUAAUUCGAAUAAAGAGUUUUGAGCAAAUACAAUUUUCCGAAAAUAUGAAACUACAGAUCUUCUUAUUUGUGUUCGUCAUAAUGGCUGCAUUUGGAGCUCCCAUGCACGGCGUUGCCACAAAAAAACUUGAACUUGCGACCGCUCCAAAUCAAGCAAGAAUAUUUUUCGGGAAAAAAGAGAAAUGCCGUCAUCGAAUCUGCCACUAACGGUGAAAAGCAUCGUGACUAUUUCUCAAUGGCUGACGGCCAUUAAAGUGUUCAGUCGAGAAAAAUAAUGGACCACACCGAAUUCAGGAAUGACUGCUCCUUCAUUAGUAAUGGUGCGAUGUGUAAUGGUGUUUUCAUUAAAUUCAAAUUCUAAAUUUUUUUCAUUUAACAACGGAACAACAAUAGAUGGAAGCAAUAUUUGUUAUUGAAGCCACCUCGGAUGCUCGUUUAUAACUUGUCAAAUUAAAAUAAAUAGUUACACUGACAAGCAGUAAUGAUAUAAGUCUAAUUUAGCAUUUUGCUUCACCAAAAAUAUUGUUUUUAAUUAAAAAUUAAAAUU
Hyalella azteca is the source of this 673-nucleotide long non-coding RNA. RefSeq lists it as uncharacterized. The record is from RefSeq and is a predicted model, not a curated record. Lineage: Eukaryota; Metazoa; Arthropoda; Malacostraca; Amphipoda; Hyalellidae. The transcript is spliced from 3 exons.